CCUGAUGGAGGGGGAUAACUACUGGAAACGGUAGCUAAUACCGCAUAAUGUCGCAAGACCAAAGUGGGGGACCUUCGGGCCUCAUGCCAUCAGAUGUGCCCAGAUGGGAUUAGCUAGUAGGUGGGGUAACGGCUCACCUAGGCGACGAUCCCUAGCUGGUCUGAGAGGAUGACCAGCCACACUGGAACUGAGACACGGUCCAGACUCCUACGGGAGGCAGCAGUGGGGAAUAUUGCACAAUGGGCGCAAGCCUGAUGCAGCCAUGCCGCGUGUGUGAAGAAGGCCUUCGGGUUGUAAAGCACUUUCAGCGGGGAGGAAGGCGGUGAGGUUAAUAACCUCAUCGAUUGACGUUACCCGCAGAAGAAGCACCGGCUAACUCCGUGCCAGCAGCCGCGGUAAUACGGAGGGUGCAAGCGUUAAUCGGAAUUACUGGGCGUAAAGCGCACGCAGGCGGUCUGUCAAGUCGGAUGUGAAAUCCCCGGGCUCAACCUGGGAACUGCAUUCGAAACUGGCAGGCUAGAGUCUUGUAGAGGGGGGUAGAAUUCCAGGUGUAGCGGUGAAAUGCGUAGAGAUCUGGAGGAAUACCGGUGGCGAAGGCGGCCCCCUGGACAAAGACUGACGCUCAGGUGCGAAAGCGUGGGGAGCAAACAGGAUUAGAUACCCUGGUAGUCCACGCCGUAAACGAUGUCGAUUUGGAGGUUGUGCCCUUGAGGCGUGGCUUCCGGAGCUAACGCGUUAAAUCGACCGCCUGGGGAGUACGGCCGCAAGGUUAAAACUCAAAUGAAUUGACGGGGGCCCGCACAAGCGGUGGAGCAUGUGGUUUAAUUCGAUGCAACGCGAAGAACCUUACCUGGUCUUGACAUCCACAGAACUUUCCAGAGAUGGAUUGGUGCCUUCGGGAACUGUGAGACAGGUGCUGCAUGGCUGUCGUCAGCUCGUGUUGUGAAAUGUUGGGUUAAGUCCCGCAACGAGCGCAACCCUUAUCCUUUGUUGCCAGCGGUUAGGCCGGGAACUCAAAGGAGACUGCCAGUGAUAAACUGGAGGAAGGUGGGGAUGACGUCAAGUCAUCAUGGCCCUUACGACCAGGGCUACACACGUGCUACAAUGGCAUAUACAAAGAGAAGCGACCUCGCGAGAGCAAGCGGACCUCAUAAAGUAUGUCGUAGUCCGGAUUGGAGUCUGCAACUCGACUCCAUGAAGUCGGAAUCGCUAGUAAUCGUAGAUCAGAAUGCUACGGUGAAUACGUUCCCGGGCCUUGUACACACCGCCCGUCACACCAUGGGAGUGGGUUGCAAAAGAAGUAGGUAGCUUAACCUUCGGGAGGGCGCUUACCACUUUGUGAUUCAUGACUGGGGUGAAGUCGUAACAAGGUAACCG
Molecule: ribosomal RNA, 1377 nt
Filed under: Klebsiella pneumoniae IS53
Lineage: Bacteria; Pseudomonadati; Pseudomonadota; Gammaproteobacteria; Enterobacterales; Enterobacteriaceae
Description: SSU rRNA
Rfam family: Bacterial small subunit ribosomal RNA
Source: RNAcentral